RNAcentral lists this long non-coding RNA (8324 nucleotides) under Malus domestica (apple). RNAcentral describes it as "long non-coding RNA (MDOM_LNC016733)". Lineage: Eukaryota; Viridiplantae; Streptophyta; Magnoliopsida; Rosales; Rosaceae. The record is from RNAcentral.
GGCAGUGGGCGAUUAAAACCAUUUCUCAUCGAUUGUGAAUUGAAACUUACUUUCAAUUCUCCCUUUAGUGAUUACACAUGUUUAGGGCUUCCACAAACCAUGAGUGACACCUAGUAGCAUAUCAUGGUUACCCAAGCUAAUCAGAAGAGGUAGAGAACCUAUUCAGUUUAGGAUUACAAAUGCAAUACGGUCUUUCUCUAAUACAAUACUCUUGACCACAUUGUUUGGUUUGAUAGUUUAUUCAUGUCUACUAUCCAAUGUGAUUCGUGUGCUUAUAUGAUUAUCUUGAAUGUGAUUUAGAACGACUUUUCUAAAUCUCAUUCAUACUCUGGCCAGAGGUUCUAAAUCAUAUCAUAGAGUAUUCUCCCUCAAACGGUUUGAAGGUUAGAGAUCCCUUGUUGCGCAUUCACUUGCCUCCAUAGCUAAGUGGCUUAACCCCAACGAUGUCGUGGACACCCGCGGAUUGGGUGACUUUGACAUAAUCAAAGAUCAAGGACUUAACCACAAGACAGACGUGAUGCCUCAGGUCAAAUGACUACUUUGCAUUAUCCCAACCAUGAGUUCUCAUGUGACAUGAAUAUGAGAACUCUUCGUUGAUCGUGUUCAGUGAACUCAUUCUCUACUGAGCACCUACGUACUUGUCUUGAUGUCACACACACCAAUGACUCGAGACUAGUCACUCUCCCUGAGAGAAGACACAGUACGUACUGAUCUUAACGGACUGUCAAUGCCCAAUUGGCAAUCCUAUGAUCAGGAACGUUUAGGAUGUGUCUACGAAAGAAUGGUCUCAUGAAUCUAACUUCUUUAGAUCGUAUUCUCCCAAUCACAUAUUCCUUGGACUUAUCGUUUAAGCAUAUAACAUUUAUAUGAGACGGCUCAAACAAUAAUAUUUGCCCUUUAUAUUUAAACUAGAUUAGUUUAACAUGUGAAAUGUCCGUAAAGUAUCAUCAUAUGAUUGGCUUUAGGGCACAUUUCCAACAAUCUCCCACUUGCACUAGAGCCAAUCAGCUUGAUCAUCAAUGAUGAUACCUCUUCUGUAGUCAUUUCAUAAAUGGCUGAAUAGUAGGCCUAGACAAUGGAUAUCUAUAUGUUAUCCAUAGAAGCAACAUUGAGAAUAACGACGUCACCAUUAUACAUGAUUCUUAAUCAUGUGGUUCAGUCUCUCAUAUGAGUUCGGACCUUGAUGAGACCUUGAUUCCUUGGCUUGAGCUAUCGCCCCAUUAGUGUCAUAAUGUCAGUACACUAGAUACACUUUCUGGUUGGAACCGAAUAGAGAGUUCAUAAAUGAACUUUCCCAUCCAAACAACAUUGUUGUAAGCUUCUAUAUGACAAUAUAUUUUGCAUUCAUAAUGGAACACACUAAAGUCAUUACUUUAAUGUUUCCAUCCAAAUAUCUCUUUAGUCAUAAUAAAGAGAUAUCUAUUUAUCUCUUCAUUCAUAAUGAAGAAACAUCCAAUGAUGGAUUAGAUUCACAAUCUAAUACAUUUACGCUUCCAUUACGUUACUCUAAUUCUUCCUUAUUCUUUGAGGAAUCUAUCCUUUAGUAUUUCUUAAAUACUUAAGGACUCACUUGACAGUUGCCAUGGUUCUGAUCCUGGGCUUGCACUGAUAUCGUCUUGUACCGUUCUAGGUACAACUCAUAUCAAUGUUUUUCAUACAAUAUGAAAUACAUAAAUCACCUUUAUGCGUAUGCAUAAAGGAUUCUAUUUAUGCAUUAUUUCUUUGGGAGUCAAAGAGUACGUUCUCUUUGAGAAAAGCAACUUCUUAGUCUCACUAGAACUGUCCUUCUAAUUGAAGUUUAUCAUCAUAUGAGAAACUUCCUAGCAUCCAUUGUCUAUUAUUAGGGAUUGAUAUAAUCCAAUUAUAUCAUGAAAUGUAUCAUUAUAGAUUUUCAUCCCAUGUAUAUAGACUAUAUCUCCCAUACACAUUCUAUCUUCAUAUAAUGUUUCAAAGUCAUAACUUUAAAGAAGAAGUAUUCUUUUCAUUUCCAAAAUUAAUAUAUCAUAUAUAUUUAAAUUUUAGGAACAUGAUUAACUCCCAUAUACAUUCUAUCUUCAUAUAAUGUUUCAAAGUUAUAACUUAAUGAAGAAGUAUUCUUUUCAUUUCCAAAAUUAAUAUAUCAUAUAUAUUUAAAUUUUAGGAACAUGAUUAACUCCCACUAAUUUUUUGUAAACCUAGUAAACAAAAGAUUCAUUUACAUCUUUAUGAGAAAUCAAACGAUUUGAUCAUUUUCUCAUAAGAUGCUCAUAGCUCCCACUAGCUUGCUUAGAUUCAUAAUGGAUGGAUCUCUACAACUUACAUGUCUUGUGAUUCAUAGUUUUAGACAUAUAUAUUAUCAAGACUAUCUUAAUAAUGGUUUCGGAAACCCAUAUAAUGUCCAAACAUUGAAUCACCAUUUAGUUGUCGCUAGCUAUCUUCGAAUUAAUUGAAAAACAAGACUACGUCAAAGAUGGUUUCUUCAAAGUCAACCGUUCUCUUUGAUUGCAGUCACCUUAAGCUACCAAUUAGCUAUGGGGUUUCAUUAUUUCGGGUCAAAUGGUACUUUACCAUUUCCUUGAGUAUAUAUCGUAUAUACACUCAAUGUAGUCAUAAGGAUUUUCAUUCUUAUUUCUUUCGAAUUAAGAGGUGCAACUCUAUGACAUAGUCAUAAAGUUCAAACCAUUCAACUUUGACGGUUUAUAAAUCCUUCUCGACUACCUUGGAGCUUUUGGUAUAGGAACUAGGUUGUUUAUAUUUGUUGAUUACUUUCUUGUCUCUCAAAGAACCCAUUCUUUGAGUUCUAUCUCUCGUUCAUUUGCUUUUAGGCAAAUCACAUUGUAGGAUUACAAUGAACUACCCAACAAAACAACAUUUGUUAAUUGGUUUAUAGAAGCGAUAUCCAAAAGUUAAUUUAAGGAUAUCCCACAAGAUUGUUAUCAAACAAAUAUUGCUUAUUAGCUCACAACCCCAAAUCUUAACAUGCUUGAGAUUUGUCUUUCUUUCCAACUACAUCUUAUGGAGUCAUGAAAAAUUUGGAAGAUCUUCUAAUUGACAAUCAUAUUGUUUUUAGAAGUAUAUAUCCUAUAUAUGGGUAAUAGAUAACAUCUAACGAACUAAAUCUUAUUCGAGUUCGUUCUUCUCCUUAAUGGAGAAAUUCAUUAUCUUAUGAUGCUAUUUUCCUUGAUAUCUUUCAAGGAAACUCAUUUAAAGUGUUACUUUUCCUUGGAUCAAAUCUAAGGAGGUAAAUACUUUAGAUGUCUUACUCAUCAACUUACAUUUCUUGAAUUCUUUGAAACCUUUUGCAAAGUAUUCGGACUUGUGUUUAUUCAAAAUAAACUAUAGUCCAACCGAGAGUGAUCUUCGGUGAAUGUCAUCCAACAUGAGUAGUAUUAUGUUGUGGACAAGUGCCACUAACAUCUAAGUGAAUUAACCUCAACAACUUUGUGAUUCUUUCUUCUUUCCAAAAGAAUAAAGAUUCGAACAUUCCACCUCUAUACAAUUUUAACAAGAAGGUAUUGGAUCCGGAUCUAACGAUCCAAAGCAUCCAUCUUUGACCAACUCGUAAUUUAUGUUUUAGAGGUAUCACAACUUUAGUUGGGAUUAGUCACUACCUUGCAACCUUUUGGGUUUUAAGCAUCAUUAUAUUCUAAACAGUUAACACUACCAUAUCAUCUCUACUAUAGAGACAAUCAAUUAGAUUACUAUAAUCCAAUCAUUGAUUAAUAAAGAACAAUGUUUUGUCAAACAAAACAUUCAUCCAUCUCUACUAUAGUGACGGAAUUAAAUUCCUUAAAAUUGGAAUGUAAAGACAAUCUUUGGUUUUUCCAAUUUCUUUGGUAGUUCAUAUGAGGAAGUAAGUACUAUCUGCUUUCGCAGAGAUCUUUAUUUUAUUCACGUUCCGAAUGUGAAGCACCUUUUUCUUCUAUCAUAUAUCUUCUACUUCUUAUUAGUCACACUUUUACAACGAUUGUAAAACAUAGUUGCUAAUACGGAAUCAAGCAUUCAAGUAGAAGAGCCAACUGUUUUGAACUAUUCAAGAACAAUUUACAACACCUUCGAAAGGUGUGUUCUUGACACUUGCAAGACAUUUCUUGCAAAUACCCCUUCCAAUGUCCAUCCUUUCAUAAAGAAAGUUUGUUCCCUUGGAGUUAAUUUUAUCUUCUUUAUUUGACUUCUCAUUUGACUACAAUAGUCAUGGUCCCUAAACUCCCACUAUCUCUCUUGAAACUUAUUUCAAUUGUGUUAUACACAUCAAACGAUUUUGGAGAGUAUGUGUUUAUUGUUCACUAUAUAUAGUUUACAAUAAACUUAGUGAACCAUUAGGAUAAGGACAUAAAGGUGAAGUCCUUGCCUAGUUUCCGUCUCGUUAAGUGGUUUAUCACUUCAACACUCAAUGAUUCAAAAUCAUCAUAAGUACAUGUUGAUGGACUAUUUUUGUCAACCAACCAUUAUGUUCUAAACAUAAUUACAAACUUUCAAGAGUUGUACAAGGCAACUCUCAUUUCUUCAUACAACAAUUUGUAAGUGAAGAAUCAUGGCACAUUAAGUGUCCAUGCCUUUGUGCUUUCUUCUAAAGUUCCUUGUUCAUGUAACAAAGAAACAAGCACUAAUGUUUGCAUUGAUUAAGGGUUGUUCAAAGCAACUCCUAUUUCUUCAUACAACAAAUUGUAAUUGAAGAAUUAUGACAUUAAAAGUGUUGUCCUCUUUAUGAUAGACCUUUUCUAACAUAUUCUUCUAAUGAUACAUUAUCAAUAGGAAGAUUGUGAGGAUGAGACUACUUAGGUACAUUUACAAGCCAUUAAAGACAAUCUAUGGUUUUGUAGUACCAAGUAUGGAAACUAAAGCUUUCGGUUUUUAUUUGUCAAGUGUUGGAUAGCGUUUGCAAAUAUAUUGGUAAGUAAAUACAUAACGAAUAUAAAUUGAUUGAUUUUAAGCCAUUUAAUUCGGGUCUUUAAAUCAAAUAGCACCACCCACUAUUUUUGGCAAAUUCCAUAUCCCUCAUUGGAAUUCGAGAGUUUUGGAUGAAACUCUUAGUAGGGUAUGGGAGGCUCACUAUCACCAAGCCCACCUCACAAUGAUAUGAUGUUGGCUAGCAUUAAUAAUAAUGAGAGAGUACGCUUACUCAUUUGCAACUAAUGCAAGUACCCAUCUUAUUUGGCAUCUAGAGAAUGUCACUUCACAAUGAUAUGAUGUUGGCUCCAUUGCACUUAGUCAAGUCAUUCCCACCAUGCUUAGUUCGUGAAGGGGUUCAAGAAUAGCCUCACGAUGAUACGAUGUCGGCCAUCCUCGUUGCCUACACUCACCUCAUCAAGUAUGUAUAUAGACUCCUCCUGAGUAUAAGCAUGCACUUUGCACUCCCCCAUGAUAGGGUGAAGGCGGUGUACAAGUCAUAAACGAUUGGAGCCUACCACGGUGGAAGGCCACGAAAGAGUGUUCAAAGCACUCUCACGCUUAUCAACUUAAUAAUGGUUUGGUUGAGGGUUUUUGGUCUCAUCACAUAUAAACAUACAUUUUAAUCUCUAUUAAAACAAUUUUGGUCCUAUUACAAUUAUUGGUCCAUUUGAUUGUUUUUAGUUGUAUAUAAUACUCCUACUAUGCUUAUAAAACGGUUUUUAAAGCAAGAGUAUAUGAUACUACUAACAUAAACUUUGCAUUCAUUUGAUGGACUAUAUAGUUGCCUUAGGGCCUUAGGAUAACUAUGAACCUUUGUUUAGAUUCAACACGAGCCUUGUGUUGAAUCUCGGUCUAGGGAUGGUGAUUGAUUUUAGUUACUCGUUUAAUCACAUUAAGACGUGUUGUCUUAGGGGCGUUGGACCCAACUACUUCAUUUUCAUGCAUAUCAAAUAAAGCAAGAAAGAAGUACUUCAAAGUAAAGGUGAGCUUAUGCUCAUUACAACAUUUGCAUAAAUCAAAUUACUUUAAAGUAAAGAAGAGCUUAUGCUCUUUUACAACAUUUGAUCAAAUCAAAUUACAACCAAAAUCUAAUCUACACAUUCCCAUGGUUCAAACAAAUUUGAAACGGCCUUUCACAUAGCUCAAUUAUCGUAGGCUUAGGUUCAUAAUCACCCUUUAAUUAAUUAACACUUAACUAAUUAAAUUGAAUGCAACAUUUUCAUUUGGUUUUUGUAUCCAUAAAAUUGAUUUAAAUGGAGCUAAAUGAAAUGAAAAUCCAAUUCUCAUUUAAAGAGACAAAACAUUUUGUUCUCAACCUAAUUUGGGCCAAAAUGCAAUUACCACAACAUUUGGGCUAUAUUGCAAAAACAUAAACUUUUGGGGUCACUUUGUAAAAACAUGAAAGUCCACUACUUCAUGUAAUUACACUAGAACCCAAUAUUUAAACAAUGUAAAAACUUCAUUAAAGGAGCAAAACAAUUUGUCCUUUAGCGUUUUUGGACCUAAACGUAAAAACGUAAACUUUUGGGCCAAAGUGCAAAUACACAAAAGUAUCAAAACUUUAUGUAAUUGCAUAAAAGGCCCCAAAAGUACCCCCACUAGGGGGUGGCCGGUUUUGGAAGAAGAAAUGGAAUGAUGUGUGUGUUGAUUUGUGAGUUUUGACAUAAAGCAAUCAAGUGGUGCAAGUGGUGUGUGUGAAAGGAAAUUAAUCCUUACACACCCACCAAUAACUCUUACACCAUUUAAACAAAUAUCUAAAACAUUUAAACAUUUGAAAAUCAUAAAACAUAAACUUUAUGAAAUAAAUCAAAACUUUGAAUCAAAACACAAAACUUUUUGUUCUUGGCAAAAAUGUCAAGAACAAUGAACAACAUUCAUGAAAAACUCAAAAAUUUCCAUGAACAUUUUUCACCCAAAAACAUCUCAAAACCAUUCAAACUUUAGGGAAAUAACAUACAACCAAACUAGGGUACAUAGGGGUUCCAAAAGUUACUUGAAAACACUUUUACCAAGUCAAACAAGAACCCAAAAAUCCACCCUUUGGAUUUGGCCGAAAAUUCCCAAAAACAUGGCACCAAAUUUUAGCUCCAAUAUUCAUGCUCAUAUGAACUACAUCUACAACAUUUGAGAUGGCAAAUUUUCUAACAAAAUUUACAUUCAAAGAAACAAGAAUAAGCUUGUAAUAUAUUACAACUUUUAAAUCACAAACUAUGAACUACAAAACCCAAAAGGAUUCACCAACUACUAGACCUAGGCUCUGAUACCACUUGAAGGAUUAUUUUGUGAAAACAUGUUCAUUUAAGCAACAUCUAUAAGCAUGCAAUUAACAAUUAAAGGCGGAAUCAUGCUUGCAUGCACUUAAAAACAAAACAUUACCCAUGAAAUUCAAAGCCUAGUAGAUUGGUGAACCAAGACUCAACUCAAAUCAAAGUGAGUUGAGAAAUUUACCUUUGUAGAUUCCUCUUUGCAUAAGUAAAGGCUAAUCACCCAAAGAGAGGACCUUCAUUCCUUGCAUCUAAAAUCUAUGGAUUUGGAUGGAUGAAAAGGUUUCUCCAAGUUCCCAAAAUUGAGAACCUCUAAGUCUCCACACCAAGGAGAGAUUGGAGAAGAAAUGAGUGACCUUGGAGUAGUGGGAUUGCUAAAUGCACCCUCCAAGGGGGCCGGCCUCCUAGAGAGAAAAGGAGAGACAAGUUCUCUCCAAUUUUCUCUAAAAGAAACCCCAUAAUGAAUUUAGGCUAUAAAGUCCUUUAUAUAGUCACUUCAAAUAAGUGACCUAAAGAACCAAAAGGCCAUUCUCUCUAACAUGGCCGGCCAUAAGGGUUUUAUUGGGAUUUUGGGCCUUUGUGAAUUAAGUUGUCAUACAACUUAAAUCAAUGGGCUUGACGUUCGAAGCCCAUUGGGCCUUGAGGCCCGAAACUAACCCGUGGUCUUUUAACGAACUUUAUUCGUUUGAUUAAUUAACAUAUUAAUUAAUCCUUGCCAUAAAUAAUUAAACCAUUUAAUUAUUCUUACUCAUAUCCAUUGUUUCUUCAAUCUCCACCUUACACGGUGUACGAUCCAUUAGGUUCCUUUUAGCGAGGCAGUGGGCGAUUAAAACCAUUUCACAUCGAUUGUGAAUUGAAACUUACUUUCAAUUCUCCCUUUAGUGAUUACACACGUUUAGGGCUUCCACAAACCAUGAGUGACACCUAGCAGCAUAUCAUGGUUACCCAAGCUAAUCAGAAAAGGUAGAGAACCUAUUUAGUUUAGGAUUACAAAUGCAAUACGGUCUUUCUCUAAUACAAUACUCUUGACCACAUUGUUUGGUUUGAUAGUUUAUUCAUGUCUACUAUCCAAUGUGAUUCGUGUGCUUAUAUGAUUAUCUUGAAUGUGAUUUAGAACGACUUUUCUAAAUCUCAUUCAUACUCUGGCCAGAGGUUCUAAAUCAUAUCAUAGAGUAUUCUCCCUCAAAC